This 918-nucleotide long non-coding RNA is filed under the name Linum usitatissimum (flax). Its description in RNAcentral is "long non-coding RNA (LUSI_LNC004308)". Lineage: Eukaryota; Viridiplantae; Streptophyta; Magnoliopsida; Malpighiales; Linaceae. The record is from RNAcentral.
UAGAUUGUUAAUACGAACAUAUGAAUGUUCAUUAAAACUAUUAAAUUUAUACAUUCAGAAAAAUAUACAUAUUUGAUAUCUGAAUAUAACAAGAUGAAACAAUGAAAUGCCAUCAAAAUUGAUACAUCAAGUUAUAAAUUCAUAAAUACAACUUGUACAUUCAUCAAAACAACCAUUUAAAAUUCUCUAAACACAACACGUCGUCUUUAUUUGGUACUCCUGCAACAUGGAAAGAAACAUAAAAACUUGUUAAUAUAAACUCAUUAGGUUUGUAAGUUUUAUCGGUACAAAUGUAGGAAUUCUUCAAGAAUAUAAAGGGUAUGAAGAACUAAAAUACACGAACGUUUUAACGAGUUCGCAUGUUUGUAUGGGCAAAACAUACGAACUUAUCAAUAUAAUCAUGCGUUCGUAUCUGUAAACAUAUAUAACACAUGCAAAAGUAUGAACUAUCUAUAUGUUCGUGUUUUAUCAGUACUUUCUUGUGGAUUCAUCAAGAACACAAGAGACAUGAAGAACACGAAGAACCCAUAAGAUAUAUAUAAACAAACUCACAAAUAUCUAUAGGUUCGUGAAAACAAACGCACCAUCAACACCUACGUUCGUUCCAUCGUGAACACAACGUCCGUAUCGAUAAGUGAAAACAAAUGAAUUACCAUGUCAUGCAUUCUUUUAGGUGACGUGAACAAAACAUUUGUAUGAGACAGUGAAACAAACGUACCGUCCCGACCUGUGUUCAUUUUGACGUGAACAAAACAAAUGCUUGUAUCAGAUAUAAAAAACCCAAAAAAAUUAACAAAGAAUAUAAUGAAGAACAUAAAAAAUCCAGAACAAUCCAAUCCACAAGAACGCGAAGAGCACGAAGAACAAGAGGUUAAAAGAGAGCUCAUCUACCUUUCCGAAAUUUGUGUUUCUUCGUGC